This 73-nucleotide transfer RNA is filed under the name Myotis lucifugus (little brown bat). It matches the Rfam family "tRNA". Rfam says of the family: Transfer RNA (tRNA) molecules are approximately 80 nucleotides in length. Their secondary structure includes four short double-helical elements and three loops (D, anti-codon, and T loops). Further hydrogen bonds mediate the characteristic L-shaped molecular structure. tRNAs have two regions of fundamental functional importance: the anti-codon, which is responsible for specific mRNA codon recognition, and the 3' end, to which the tRNAs corresponding amino acid is attached (by aminoacyl-tRNA synthetases). tRNAs cope with the degeneracy of the genetic code in two manners: having more than one tRNA (with a specific anti-codon) for a particular amino acid; and 'wobble' base-pairing, i.e. permitting non-standard base-pairing at the 3rd anti-codon position. Lineage: Eukaryota; Metazoa; Chordata; Mammalia; Chiroptera; Vespertilionidae. The record is from Rfam by way of RNAcentral.
GCCAGUGUGGCUCAGUGUUUGGAGUGUUGGUUGGUACACCAAAGGGUCUUGGGUUCAAUUCCCAGUCCUGGUC